Molecule: long non-coding RNA, 782 nt
Organism: Carya illinoinensis
Lineage: Eukaryota; Viridiplantae; Streptophyta; Magnoliopsida; Fagales; Juglandaceae
Exons: 2
Source: RefSeq, a predicted model, not a curated record
UGUGAAUAGGAAAUGAAAUGUGAAAAACCAGAAACCAGAGAGUCUUCUUUGUCGUGCGUUGUCUUUGUCGUGUUUGUCUUCUCCCGAACUCGACCUGAGCUAUCUCUAAGGGUCAGUGUCUUUCGUGCGAGAGCAAAACUAGAGGUGGGAGUGUAUCUUCUCUGUCGUGGGUAUCUCUGAGGUCUGCGUUCAGGUUGGAUGUGUAAUGGUGUGAUUCGGUACUUCAAAACCAAGUCUUCCAAACAUUUUUUAUCCAAUAUUUGCAUUUGGCUCUCUCUCAGCAUGGGAAACGGGACAGAACAUCCAUCUACGCUAACACCAUGUAGCUCCACUACAAGCAAAAUAGUUGGUUCAAAGGAUAAUAGACCCGAUGGGGGAGAAACUGAAGCAUCAUGUACAAUUAGGUAGCAUUUAAUGUAUUAUGGGAGGAUAAUACACUUUUGUGCAUUUAAUGUAUUUUUUUGUGGGGAUGAUUGUAGUCCAGGCACUUAAUUGGGUAGCAUUUGUGUUUUUGGUAGGAUAAGUAUAUUUCAAGGACUUUAUGCAUUUAAUGUAGUUUUUGUGGGAAUGAUUGUAUUCCAGCACUUAAUUGGGUAGCAUUUGUGUUUUUGGUGGGAUGAGUAUAUUUCAAGGACUUUUGUACAUUUAAUGUAUUUUUUGUAAGGAUGAUUGUAUUCCAGACACUUAAUUGGGUAACAUUUGUGUUUUUGGUGGGAUGAGUAUAUUUCAAGGACUUUUGUACAUUUAAUGUAUUUUUUGUAGGGAUGAUUGUAUUCCAGGCA